This is a long non-coding RNA of Equus caballus (horse), 4219 nucleotides long. Lineage: Eukaryota; Metazoa; Chordata; Mammalia; Perissodactyla; Equidae. The record is from Ensembl.
GAGCACUGGGGCAGAACGGCAGGUCUGUGAGGACGCCGUGGAGUCUUGAGAUGAGCUGUCGGAGGGUUUCCGGUAGAGGAGUGGCGUGAUCGGUUUUGUAUUUUCACAGAAGCCUCUGGCUGCUGGAUGGAGAACACACUGCAGGCAGCAGGGGCAGAAUCAAGGGGACCAGUUAGGACCCUGUGGCAGGUGCCUAGCCGAGAGACAAUGUUGGUUCGUCUCAAGUUUUCUCAACCUUGACACUAUGGACAUUCGGGGCUGGGUCAUUCUCCAUGCUGGGGCCGUCCCGUGCAUCGUGGAAUGUUUAGCCCUCUAGAUGCCAGAAGCUCUUCCAGCCUGGUUGUAACAAUCAAAAUUUUGUUGAGACACUGCCAAAUGUCCCCCGGGGAGAAGAUGGCCCCACCUGAGAACCACCGCCCUGACUGAACUCUUCGCGCCGGUCCAGCUGCACCUCGCCCAGGGUUGGGAGCUGUGCUCCCUCCAGCUUGCUGUGGCCCUGAGCAGGAACUAGAAGGGCAUCUUCUCAUUUUAACAGGGAGGAAAGUAUUUCCCAGAAGCCCCCAGCUGACUGGACCUUACAGCUCCCUGGCCAGAAGUGGCCGAAUGCCCCCCCCGCUCGGGACUGUCAUGAUUGGCAGGGUUGAUGUGGCCCCAUGCGAUGGGCACAUUACUGCCCAAACAGAUCCAAUUUCUACCAGCAGAGAAGAGGUGAGCCACCAGGAGUCUCUGCCACAAACUCACUUGUUACAUCUGUUCCACCUGCUAGACUCGCAGUCCCCCCGAACGGCGUCAUAUCCUAUUUACAAGCCCCGGGUAUGCGGUGACCCGGUGCUUAACUUAACGGUAUUCUGUCAAAUGAACGAAUGCAGGAGCGGGAGUCUCGUCAGGGACAGCCAUGGCUGCUUUGCGUUCCGAGAACCUAAAUCAAAGCAUCCUUUGCAAGAUCUCGCAGGUGGCUUCCCUCUCGGCACGUCCUGUUCACGGGGAAGGCCUGUCUUCCUGCUCAGAAAGGACGUUGGAAGAUCUGAGCUGGCCCUUGCUGUGCAUUUGUACCCGCAUUAACCUCACUUAGUCCACAGGACAGCCCUGCCGUGUCACUGACAUUCAUAGGUGAAGUUUCUGGAAGGUGAUUAUGAAACAAGAGUUGCUGUUACAGAGAGAGGCCUAACCUGAGUUGCACUAAUUGUCAGGUAGGCGCUGCUUUUCCCCUUUAGAAAGCCAGUAGCUGCCAGAGAACCACGAGCUGUGCCCUGCCCACAGAGACUGGCGGCUGUGCUGCCCCGGGGCAGCAUUACUCACUUUAAUCCUCAAUUACAUGUGCACUGUUGUGUGCUGCUGACAGCUGUGCCACUCGUAUUUCAAACCCCUGCAGGGCCCCCCAUGGUGGACAGGUUCCGGCAGAGCUUCCAGACCAAGACAGACAGGGAAGAAGGAGCUGGUCACCCACUUCCUCAAAAAUUAGUCAAGAAAACCCCAUGAAUAGCAGUGAGCAUUAUCUGAUACAGCGCAGGAAGACGAGAGGAUGACGCGAACAGACGGGGCAGGGUCUGCUCUGCAGGGCACAGGUCGCCAGGGGUGGGAAUCAACUCGACGGCACUAACUGCAACAACACGGGCACUGGUGCGGCUUGCGUGUCUCUGUUUCAUCACAAGGUGAAAUCCACGGGUUUAAUCUUCCUUAUCUGUUUAUCCAGAAGAGAGCUCUUGGUGGGAUAAUAACGCAGACAGACACAUCGCCACCUUCAUCGCUGUGCUCAGAGCAGCGUCUUAACUGGUCACGGCCUUGUUGCCUUUCUCUAGUGAGAACUGAGGGUAACCAUCGCUGUUGUCAGAGGCCCCACAUGAAACAGCUCACGGGUGACUAUAAUUAAACCCGUUUAUAAUUCUCCCGCCUCCCAAACUUACCCUCCCUCAUGAAGAUGCUCUGUUAGGCACUGGGCGUCAGUAUAAAUUAGACUAUACAGUUAUGUGUAAUUACAGGGAAAAAUGGGUACCGCGCUGCAAAGAUGAGCCCUAUUUUGCCGAAGUAAAUCCAUCUCCAUGUCAGGAUCCCCGCCCAGGGAGGCAGCAUGAAAUACAAUUAUCUUUCUUCUGACUUAAUGGGGGCUUAUGCUGCUAUUUUUCAUUACCAUAAUUUCUCAAGACAUAUAAACAGAUUUUUUUUCCUAAUGCAAUUACAGUUCUACAUACAAGACAGCUUAUGUCUAAAUGAAUACUCAGGCAGAAUUAACCGCAAGAGUGCAUCAUUAUAGAUGUGGCUGGAAGGUCUGUCUGAAAACAUGUGCUCGACUGUCGCCACCCAGGAGCUGAGGAUUUUGGCCCCAACCCCCCGAGGGCGGUUCUGCAGCAUCUUUUGCUCUUGAAAAGCAAGUUUUGGAUAAACUUUGUGACCAUUAUAGUCGCCUGGUUCCAACUCUGUGCCCUUCUUUUCUGGAACCUUCCAAACGCAUCCAGGCCACAGCCAUUUAUCCUACUUUUAACAUUUCUCCUUCACAUGCUGAUUCGUUUACUCACUGAAAGCUUGACUUUUACAACCUCCUAAAUUGCCUCAACUCCAACCCAAACUUGGCCGGAAAAUACUUGGACAAAAAUGGUUCGGGUGGUAUUUCAGCUCUUGAAGGAGAAAAAGCAAAACACAGGAGGAAUGAUUGUUUUUACUUGUUGCACGGGAGUGCAGGAAACAGAGCAGCAUUCCGGCUGUGCCAGGUGGAUAGAACCAGAUGAGCAACCCGCACAGGCGGCCGCCAAGGAAGUCACGGGAGGAGGAAUCGAGGCGCGCAGACCCACCCUGGCUGCAGCUGGAAAGGAGGUGGCCCAGGGACAGGAGCAGACCAGCCAUCCAGCGGAGACGGCGGUGGCGCGGAGCAGGUUGGGGGAGUGCAGGCAGAGAGGGUGGCUGCGGCAGGUCAUGUUUUGAAGGUCGGCCCGGGAGGACUCGCUGAUGGAUGGCAGGAAUCCUGCGGCUGAGGACAGGGCGUUAUUGAAUGACAGGGGAAAUAGUCAGGAGAGGACAACUUCAGGAGGAGCUUCUCAGAGAGGAAAUGGAAGCGACCAGUGCUUGCUGAGUGCCAGCGGUCAUACCCAGGACCCACCCACCCUUUCCUUCGGGUACCUCCCUCCACCCAAGAUGACCAUAUCAGCAUUUUCUCCCAGAAGCUUCUGCAACCAGAGCCAGCGGAAGGCAGAGGGAAGAAAAGUACUGAAUGACUUUGCAGAUUUUUCCGUCCAGUGCGAUUCCAUUAAUGCCAUUCCAGGCCUGCCUCCUGGAUGCCUGCCUGAUUGAUUCGGGGUCUAGGAACCAAUUUCGAAAUUUGGCUUUUCACAGCUAAAACCGGCAAUAACAUUUUACCCUGUUUGUAACGAGCAAGAGCCAGGAAUGGUCCCCCUUUGCCGCGAUGGUGAGGAAAUCUCAUCUGAGAAGCAGGUCCCGGCCCCCGGGGAGAUUAUUCUGGAUCGAGUGACAGGCCCGGCAGUAGCCGCCAGCUGCCAACAGCGAGCUCCUUCCAGCACAAGGAGGGGAAUCAAAGGCAAUCGCUCGGGAAACGACCAAGUCCCUCUGCCCAGACGUGGCCUCCGAUGGCUGCUGUUUGUCCCCCAGGCCUUUCUUCCACCCCCCUUUGGGGGACAGAGUUGUUCUGGGACCGUUGAUCUGAUGGGCAAGCCUCCUGUGGCCGUUAACAGGUGUUGCCGGGGGCGAGCAGCUCACAUUCUGAUCCAGUGACAUUGCAGGUAUUCCAGGGACACUCAGGGCCAGACCAGGGCUGCCACGUGAAUUCCAGCCUGGGACGGGGACACCAAUGGCUGGAGGACCGUGCUGGACACAGGUGCGGGACAUCUGCUCCCUGCCGCCGGUCUGGGUCAAGGCCCAGACUGCAGCCUUGCCUCCUCCGGUGGACACCCGUGGGUCUCCUUGGGAACCGUCUCCAGGCCGCACAAGAGUGUUACAUCUGCAGGAUGGUUCAUCGGGUCCCUUCAGCGGGAGCCUGAGGUUGCACCCUCAGCGUCUUCAGGAGACUGGGGGUAACGUGAAUCAGAGAGGUGGGCAGUGGGGCCUGUGACGGACUGACAAGGAUGUGCCCAGUCCAAAGUGGCCCUUGCCACACACCUCCCCCCACUGUCCGCACGUGGAAAGAGGGACAAAGAGACGAGUCUUCUGACUUUUCCAGCAGAACCAGAAGUUUGCUUUCAUGCAAAAUCUCUCAAUUAAAAAACAGGACAGC